This 719-nucleotide ribosomal RNA is filed under the name Curtobacterium sp. Pd-S-(l)-l-D-1(6). RNAcentral describes it as "bacterial SSU rRNA". It matches the Rfam family "Bacterial small subunit ribosomal RNA", at positions 105 to 836 of the family's 1533-position model. Lineage: Bacteria; Bacillati; Actinomycetota; Actinomycetes; Micrococcales; Microbacteriaceae. The record is from RNAcentral.
GGUGAGUAACACGUGAGUAACCUGCCCCUGACUCUGGGAUAAGCGUUGGAAACGACGUCUAAUACUGGAUAUGACUGCCGGCCGCAUGGUCUGGUGGUGGAAAGAUUUUUUGGUUGGGGAUGGACUCGCGGCCUAUCAGCUUGUUGGUGAGGUAAUGGCUCACCAAGGCGACGACGGGUAGCCGGCCUGAGAGGGUGACCGGCCACACUGGGACUGAGACACGGCCCAGACUCCUACGGGAGGCAGCAGUGGGGAAUAUUGCACAAUGGGCGAAAGCCUGAUGCAGCAACGCCGCGUGAGGGAUGACGGCCUUCGGGUUGUAAACCUCUUUUAGUAGGGAAGAAGCGAAAGUGACGGUACCUGCAGAAAAAGCACCGGCUAACUACGUGCCAGCAGCCGCGGUAAUACGUAGGGUGCAAGCGUUGUCCGGAAUUAUUGGGCGUAAAGAGCUCGUAGGCGGUUUGUCGCGUCUGCUGUGAAAUCCCGAGGCUCAACCUCGGGCUUGCAGUGGGUACGGGCAGACUAGAGUGCGGUAGGGGAGAUUGGAAUUCCUGGUGUAGCGGUGGAAUGCGCAGAUAUCAGGAGGAACACCGAUGGCGAAGGCAGAUCUCUGGGCCGUAACUGACGCUGAGGAGCGAAAGCGUGGGGAGCGAACAGGAUUAGAUACCCUGGUAGUCCACGCCGUAAACGUUGGGCGCUAGAUGUAGGGACCUUUCCAC